GAUGAACGCCGGCGGCGUGCCUAAUACAUGCAAGUCGGGCGAACGGACGAGAAGCUUGCUUCUCUGAUGUUAGCGGCGGACGGGUGAGUAACACGUGGAUAACCUACCUAUAAGACUGGGAUAACUUCGGGAAACCGGAGCUAAUACCGGAUAAUAUUUUGAACCGCAUGGUUCAAAAGUGAAAGACGGUCUUGCUGUCACUUAUAGAUGGAUCCGCGCUGCAUUAGCUAGUUGGUAAGGUAACGGCUUACCAAGGCAACGAUGCAUAGCCGACCUGAGAGGGUGAUCGGCCACACUGGAACUGAGACACGGUCCAGACUCCUACGGGAGGCAGCAGUAGGGAAUCUUCCGCAAUGGGCGAAAGCCUGACGGAGCAACGCCGCGUGAGUGAUGAAGGUCUUCGGAUCGUAAAACUCUGUUAUUAGGGAAGAACAUAUGUGUAAGUAACUGUGCACAUCUUGACGGUACCUAAUCAGAAAGCCACGGCUAACUACGUG
Molecule: ribosomal RNA, 497 nt
Filed under: uncultured bacterium
Lineage: Bacteria
Description: partial 16S ribosomal RNA
Rfam family: Bacterial small subunit ribosomal RNA
Source: RNAcentral